UACGUAGGUGGCAAGCGUUGUCCGGAAUUAUUGGGCGUAAAGAGUGCGUAGGCGGUCUAUUAAGUCUCAUUUGAAAGCCCAUGGCUUAACCAUGGAGGGUGAUGGGAAACUGAUAGACUUGAGUACAGGAGAGGAAGGUGGAAUUCCACGUGUAGCGGUGAAAUGCGUAGAUAUGUGGAGGAACACCGGUGGCGAAGGCGGCCUUCUGGCCUGUGUCUGACGCUGAGGCACGAAAGCGUGGGUAG
Molecule: ribosomal RNA, 245 nt
Filed under: uncultured Bacillota bacterium
Lineage: Bacteria; Bacillati; Bacillota
Description: uncultured Firmicutes bacterium partial 16S ribosomal RNA
Rfam family: Bacterial small subunit ribosomal RNA
Source: RNAcentral